GGCCUAGUGGUGAAAUGGUAUCACAUUUGCUACUUGUAAACCCGGAGGGAUGAUGUAUUCAGCAGAAGGUCCUUGUUCGAUUCAAGGCUGGGCCA
Molecule: non-coding RNA, 95 nt
Organism: Mycena crocata
Lineage: Eukaryota; Fungi; Basidiomycota; Agaricomycetes; Agaricales; Mycenaceae
Source: the annotation of a GenBank genome assembly